Molecule: transfer-messenger RNA, 355 nt
Filed under: Desulfuromonadaceae
Lineage: Bacteria; Pseudomonadati; Thermodesulfobacteriota; Desulfuromonadia; Desulfuromonadales
Also listed under: 1 other name
Description: Pseudodesulfuromonas sp016936455 Standard tmRNA
Rfam family: transfer-messenger RNA
About the family: Bacterial tmRNA, also known as 10Sa RNA or SsrA, is named for its dual tRNA and mRNA-like properties.
Source: RNAcentral
GGGGGCGCCAAGGUUUCGACGGGGAUUGGAAGCUAAGGUUGCAUGUCGGAGUGGGCUGGCUCCGUAAAAAAGCCCAUUACAUACAAACGCCGAUACUGACGUUUCGUACGCAUUAGCAGCUUAGGCUGCUACGUCUGCUGGUUACUUCGCCUGCGGGUUUCCAGUGGACGUCAAUUCAGCGGGCUGGUUGUUGUUCAGGUCUGUGGCUCAACAACGAGAACUUAAGCAGAAUCGCCGAUGGUAAGACCCUGUCUGUGGGGGCGGCCACCGGUUAAAUCUAAAACAUAGACUACACAUGUAGACGCCUUAAGUGAAAGAUUUUCGGACGCGGGUUCGAUUCCCGCCGCCUCCACCA